UAAUACGGAGGGUGCGAGCAUUAAUCGGAUUUAUUGGGCGUAAAGGGCGCGUAGGCGGGGACGUAAGUCGGAUGUGAAAUCCCGGGGCUCAACCCCGGAACAGCAUUUGAUACUGCGUUUCUAGAGGGUAGGCGGAGAAAAUGGAAUUCCACAAGUAGCGGUGAAAUGCGUAGAUAUGUGGAAGAACACCGGUGGCGAAGGCGGUUUUCUAGCUUAUACCUGACGCUGAGGCGCGAAAGUAAGGGGAUCAAACAGGAUUAGAUACCCUGGUAGUCCUUACUAUAAACGAUGUAUACUUGGUGUAACCGGACUCAACCCUGGUUGUGCCGUAGCUAACGCGAUAAGUAUACCGCCUGGGGAGUACAGUCGCAAGGCUG
RNAcentral lists this ribosomal RNA (377 nucleotides) under uncultured bacterium. Its description in RNAcentral is "bacterial SSU rRNA". It matches the Rfam family "Bacterial small subunit ribosomal RNA", at positions 521 to 896 of the family's 1533-position model. The record is from RNAcentral.